This 504-nucleotide ribosomal RNA is filed under the name uncultured bacterium. RNAcentral describes it as "partial 16S ribosomal RNA". It matches the Rfam family "Bacterial small subunit ribosomal RNA", at positions 30 to 523 of the family's 1533-position model. The record is from RNAcentral.
AUUGAACGCUGGCGGCAUGCCUUACACAUGCAAGUCGAACGGCAGCAUGGAGAGCUUGCUCUCUGAUGGCGAGUGGCGAACGGGUGAGUAAAGCAUCGGAACGUACCGUGUAGUGGGGGAUAACGUAGCGAAAGCUACGCUAAUACCGCAUACGCACUGAGGUGGAAAGCAGGGGAUCGUAAGACCUUGCGCUAUACGAGCGGCCGAUGUCAGAUUAGCUAGUUGGUAGGGUAAAGGCCUACCAAGGCGACGAUCUGUAGCGGGUCUGAGAGGAUGUUCCGCCACACUGGGACUGAGACACGGCCCAGAAUCCUACGGGAGGCAGCAGUGGGGAAUUUUGGACAAUGGGGGCAACCCUGAUCCAGCCAUGCCGCGUGAGUGAAGAAGGCCUUCGGGUUGUAAAGCUCUUGCGGCCGGGAAGAAAUCGCACAGGCUAAUACCCUGUGUGGAUGACGGUACCGGCAUAAGAAGCACCGGCUAACUACGUGCCAGCCGCCGCAGUAA